Molecule: long non-coding RNA, 6833 nt
Filed under: Elaeis guineensis (African oil palm)
Lineage: Eukaryota; Viridiplantae; Streptophyta; Magnoliopsida; Arecales; Arecaceae
Description: long non-coding RNA (EGUI_LNC042287)
Source: RNAcentral
UAAAGAUCGAUGGGUCGAUCUGUUUCUGCUCUACGACUUCAUUGUUUUUCUCUUUGCACUUGGCUGAGGCGGUGUUUGCUGUAUUCCUCGAUCGAUUUUAGGGUUUUGAUUUAAGAUUGUUCUAUAAUUGUUUUCUUGCGUCUUUGGUGGAGAUCGGCAUGGGAUUUUCGUGAUUCUUUGACGAUUCUGGUUUUGAUUUAAGAUUGUUCUUGUGAUGAUUUAGUUGUUUUCUUGCCUUUGGUGCAGAUCGGGUUGGGCUUUUCGAGAUCCUUUGACGAUUCUGGACGUAGAUCGAUUAUUGUUUUCCUUAUGCGGUUUUGUAGAUCUGGAAUUUGUAGAUCUAGUGUUCGUGGCUUUUGAUUAUUAACUUUCAAACGUGCCGCUCUCUUCUUCUUUAGGAGCUGUUUUUCCAAGUAGAGAAUCACUUAAAAUUGUAGGUCUAAGUCUUUCUUCCUCUCUGAUGGAUCUAUAAUUUUCUUCUUCUUCUUCUUCUUUCCUUUUCUUUCUUUUUUUUAACCUCUUUUUCUUUUUUUUUUUUGUUGGGUGGGGGGGGGGGCGGGAGUUGAUCUAUGCCAAUGAAUUUAGGGUUUUCAUCAUCAUCUUCCUCCUUCCGGCUGUUCUGUUAUUUAAAGCCCGGUUGCAAACGUUAGAGUUACACGGAUAUUCAUGAAACUCACCUUUUUUUUCUCCUUUUUCUGAUUCUCAGGAACUGAUGAUCUCUGCUCUGUGGGACCUCUCAUUUCGAACCUCAUGGAUUCGAGCCGCCUCUUGUCUCUCACUCCUAACGUUGAUGUCUUCUGCCCGCCUCGCAAGAGGUCACGGGUCACUGCUCCUUUCAUCUUUAAAGGAGGAGAGAAGAAGGGCGCUGAGAAGCAAAAGCAGCAGCCCUGCUCAAUCGAUGUUCUUCCUGACGAGUGCCUCUUUGAGAUCCUCCGGCGGUUGCCAGGAAAUAAGGAGAGGAGCAACUCUGCUUGUGUAUCCAAGCGUUGGCUCAUGCUCUUGAGCAGCAUCCGGGCUUCUGAGAUGGCUGCUUACAAAAAUAACGGCACCAGCGGCUGCGAGACCUUGAAGAAACCUUUGCCAGAUCUGAACAGUGCUAUGAGUACUGACGAGGAAGAGGAAUUCGAGAGCACUGGCUAUCUUACUCGGAAGUUAAAAGCAAAGGAUGCCACAGAUGUUAGACUUGCUGCUAUAGCUGUUGGUACUGGUGGCCAUGGUGGGCUGGGUAAGCUUUACAUUGAAGGAAGUAAUGCAACUCGUCCGCUCACUGAUAUUGGACUGUCUACUGUGGCCCGUGGUUGCCCUUCCCUACGGGUUCUGUCAAUGUGGAAUGUUCCCUUCAUCAGUGACAUUGGCCUAUCCGAGAUUGCAAGUGGAUGUCCUAUGCUGGAAAAGCUUGACCUGUGCCAGUGUCCUUUAAUCUCAGAUAAGGGUUUGAUAGCUGUUGCUCGGAAGUGUCCCAACUUGACAUCUCUGAUGGUAGAAUCUUGCUUGAGCAUAGGCAAUGAAGGCCUGCAGGCUAUCGGUCGCUGCUGCCCAAAGUUGAAGUCUAUUGUUAUCAAGGACUGCCCGCGUGUUGGUGACCAAGGAGUUGCAAGCCUGGUCUCUGCAGCUUCAUCUUUCCUAGCCAGGAUUAGGCUUGAGAAUGUGAAUAUCAGUGAUGUGUCUCUUGCUGUCAUUGGGCACUAUGGGAAGGCUGUUGCUGAUCUAGCACUUACUGGCCUCCAGUCUGUAAGCGAGAGGGGUUUCUGGGUCAUGGGCAAUGCUUUUGGCCUGCAGAACUUGGAGUCUAUCAUGAUCAACUCUUGCCGUGGGGUUACUGAUCUGGGCCUUGAGGCCAUUGCAAAGGGUUGCCCAAAUCUAAAGCAGCUGUGUCUCCGCAGGUGUUGCUAUCUGUCAGAUGCUGGCCUGAAAGCUUUUGCCAUAACAGCUAGGGCACUGGAGAAUCUGCAUCUGGAGGAGUGUAACCGGAUCAGUCUAAUUGGUGUUCUUGGCUGUCUUCUGAACUGCAAUGAAAAAUUCAGGGCACUAUCCUUGGUGAAAUGCUUGGGGAUCAAGGAUAUAAGUUUCUGCACGGCCCCACUCCCCUCAUGCUUGUCUCUUCGAUCCUUGACCAUCCGUGACUGCCCUGGUUUCACUGGUGCUAGCUUAGCAGUGGUUGGGAAGAUCUGCCCACAAUUGCAGCAUGUAGAUUUGAGCGGCCUAGUUAGUGCGACUGAUGCAGGCCUUCUGCCUCUGAUUGAGAGUUCAGAGGUGGGACUAGUUACAGUCAAUUUGCGUGGCUGUGUUGAUCUGACAGAUGCUGUUGUCACUGCACUGGUGAAGGCACAUGGAAGUACUCUCCAGAUGCUUAAUCUUGAAGGCUGUAAGAAGGUCACUGAUAAGAGCCUCUUGGUGAUUGCAGACAGUUGCUCUUUUCUUGAUGAUCUUGAUAUGUCGAGGUGCAUGAUCGGUGAUUAUGGUAUUGCAGUCCUGGCGUCUGCAAGUCAGCUUAAGCUGCGAGUCCUCUCUCUGGCUGGCUGCUCUAAUCUGACCCAAAAGAUUCUGCCGUUCUUGGGCAACAUGGGCAGAUCCUUGGUGGGGCUGAACCUCCAAAACUGUAAGCUGAUCAGUACUCAAGGGAUUGGAGCACUCGAGGAGAAGCUGUGGUGGUGUGAUAUCUUUUACUAGAAGAAAGGAGAGAGGGCUGCAGGAGAUUCUUUGGUCGGUCCAUUGAUGGGGGUCUCCAGCACCAGAUGACAGAUAAAAACAGCAGUAGCAUCAGCAGUUUUAAAUUUCCAGUUGGUUUUUGGCUCGUGUCAUAGGCAGUGGGCUUUCUUCUUUGUCACAGGACUUGGUUGUUUUUCAGGGACCUUUGGCCAGUCUUACUUUUUUGCAGAUUCUCCUCUUUUAGAGGGGAAGCCUGUUUCAGAGUGUUUGGCAGCCGCUGAUUGGCUAGCUUUCCUCUAUCCUGGUCUUGGUUCUUGAGAUGACAACUAUGCCUAGUCCUGGUUCAUAGUGUUCUCUUUGAAUCAGUGCUUGUUUAUGUCAUUUCUAGGUGUCUUUUUUUAAGAGGGUCCUGGUUAUGUAUCGCUGGGGCAGCUGCAUCUGUCGCUGCUCUGGUGUUUUAGCCAAGCCUCAUUGGUAGUUGAAGCUCGUGUCUGAAGUUUCAAUCAGGUCUUGUAGGUGUUGUUCCAGUUUGGACUCAUGUCCUCUGAGUCGGAUCUGUUUGGUUCUAUUAGUGUGGGUCUCGUCUGGUUGCUUUUGCACAGUUCUGUUUGGUUGCCUGAGAUUUAUGGGGCUUUGGUUAUGGCAGCACAUACUUAGAGCGUGCCAUGACAGCCUUGUUUGGUUGUUUUUUCCACCAAGCUCUACUUUUGCAGGCUGAUGGCUGAGGACUGUAAUCUUUGCAACCUUUCUUAUAAUGAGUAAUUCUUAUGUUAAAUGUCCAGUGUUUAAUGUUUUCAGAGACUGGUUUGGUAGUUUAUGUUUUCUGUUCCAGCUUUUAUGAAUGUGAAGUUUUCUGCUCUUGCAUCCGGUUUGGAAUACCUUUCAGGACGGCUGGGGCCUUUAGCACUGCACUGUGUUAUUCUGGUUUACAUUGGGAGACUUUGAAAGAAUGAUUGUAAUGUUGGUCGCUACUAAUAGUGGCAUGAAAGUUUGGUAAAAUUCUGGUUCUUUCAUGGGACAUGAGGAGAAGUUUUGUUCAUUUCAUGAACUCCAGCAAUUUAAAAAAGUUGUAGUCUUGUAUGAUAAGUUGGGAUGAUGUUGCGUUCUCUCUUCUUUCCAACCUCAAGAGGGCUGGUCUUGGACCUCGGUGCUACGGUAUGUUGUAACGUGCAGGCUAUCUCGUGUUUUUGUUGAAAUCCUAGUGACAGUAAGGAUUCUUUUAUGUUUUGAUUGGAACAAGUAUUGAUAAGGUGCUAGAAUCUAGCUUGUUAGGCUUUUUAACCACUUUUCAUAGGGGUUAUGCCAAAUAGGGAAUUAGCUUCUUUUCUUGAUAUUGCGUCUUUGAUGGAUGUUAAGCCAUUUUUCCUCUCAUUUUCUAUUUUUAGUUAUAUAUGUGUUUGCCGGUUGAAACCGACGUUGUAUUUAGUUAAUGCUUGAAUCUCUCCGUAUCCGUCCGUCUGGUCCUUGGGAUGGUGAUCGUGCUUUGACUUGUUCAGGUUUGCUUUUAUGCCAAAAUCAUGUAUUUUUGUAAUAAUGAGUAGAAGGCCUCUUUGCCCUGCUGGUGUGUUUGGUGCCAGAUGUUUGGUAGGUUAAUAGCUCAGAUCCUGGUAGAGGAACGUGAUAGGCAUAAAUGCGCAGAUUAUUCGAGCAUUAUUUUCAGUAUGGAGAGUGGAUCGUUCGCGUAAUUGCUUGGGCCAUGUGGGCACGGUGAUCGUAUCAUACAAAUAUGCAUAUCAUUUGAGCUGUCAAUCAAUUCUUUAGUUUGUAGCUGGAAAAAUAACUUGUGAAAAGGGAGAUCUGCUUAUAUUCAUCGCAGAAUAUCCAGUGUAUCUGGAGAUGUUUAUUGAGUACGAGCUAUGCAAUCAUUAUAUAUAUAUAUAUAUAUAUAUAUAUAUUGNNNNNNNNNNNNNNNNNNNNUGGAGAUGUUUCGAUUGAGUACGAGCUAUGCAAUACAUUAUAUAUAUAUAUAUAUAUAUAUAUAUAUUGCAGACUCCAAAUGGUUGGAAGGAGAUUGGAUGGUUAUGAUAUGGUACUUCAGGGGCGGCUCCGAGAAGGCUCAGCUAAAGAGGAGCCAUAACCCAGCAGCUUGUCUACAUUCCUGCCGGUCAAUUUUGGAUUCGUUCCAGCGCUAGUUUAGGUGUUGAGCCGGGCGGGGUGCAAUCCUGGUCCGUAGUUGCAUGGACCGCUCCUUGAGCCCAAGAUUGUCGCAACUGAGCCUCUCCAGAUAGGGGUGUACAUGGUUUAGUUUGAUAUGAUUUGAAAAUAUUUUUAAAUUAAAUUAAUAAAUUAUAUUUUAUCAAUUUUAUAAAUCAAAUGAGAUCAUUUUGUCACUCAAAUCAGACUAAACCAAUGAAUUACGGUUUGAUCUGGUUUGAUUAACGGUUUGACAUAUUAUAAUAUUGGUGGUAGAAAAUUUUGAAAAAAAAAUAUUCUAGUCAAAAAAAAAAUUGAAAUUAUUAUGAUAGCUUUCGGACCAAUGUAUAGCUCCGGUCUCUGAAAUCAUUAAAAUGAAGAUUAUGCCUUUAAAUCUUAUUGCUGCUAUAUAAGUAUAUUUAUCAAUUAUGCGGUAUUAUUUAAAAUUUAUAAAUGCACAAUCAAACAAAAAUACCUAUAAGUUUCAGAAAAUUCAGAUUAUACAAUGCUGUAAAGAGCAAAGUAAAAUUAUUAUUACUAAAAAAAGUAUUAAAAUUUUUUAGAUCAAGAGACUAAAAAUUUGAUAUUUAGUUCUUUAAUGCUUCAACUAGAAAUUAAAAGUGUUGCACUAUAAAAAUUGUUUGGUGUGAAAUAUAUAAAAAAAAAUUACAAACCUUGUCAAAGCAGUCUCUAGCUACUUCAAUCUUCAUUACUUUGAAGUAUUUUAACCAGAAAUCAAUUGCCACUAUUGUUUUCAUUUCAUUGCUGUGGUUCUUUUUUUCUAUUGUUCUCUGAACUCCAAGUAACUUAAGAAUCGGAGUGUGUCCUACCGAAUGAAUUCCAGCAAGAAGAUUUCUUUGUAGGAAUAUUCUCCAUCGAAAGCAAGGCGUGACUUACUCAGCACUAGACCAAGGUCUUCGUCGGGGUUUAGUGGCAAUAGAAAUUUUUCAUCAUUCAAGGCAUUCUAAUUUAGAAUUAAAUCUAGAUUUUUUAAAUAAUACUUGAUUUGCCCUUUGUCCUUUAAAAAUUAUCUCACGUGUGAAAGAUGAUCUCCUUCUUAUAAAGACGAGUCCCUCUUGACUAACCACCGAUGUAGAAUUAUUUAUGCCCUCCAUAUUAUUAGAACUAUAUUAUUAGGACCUCGACUCACAAUCAAUGUAGGAUUAUUGGUGCCCUCCACAUUAUUAGAAUCACGUUAUUAAGACCUUGACCCCUAUCUGGGAGGGCAUUAUUAUGGAUAAAGGCUCAAUCCGACACGUGAGGUAUUAUCCGUUCUGGCCGAUGGGCCUCAUGGUUUUGUCAUUUGAAAGGUGCCUCAAGUGGAAAAGAUAAUCCCUUCCUUAUAAGCGCGAGUCUCUCUAGACUCACAAUCGAUGUAAAACUAUUGGUAUCCUCUACAUUAUUUAAACCACAAUAGUAUAAAUAAAAAAAUAUUCAUAAAUCAUCUAUUUUUUAGAUAGCUUGUAAGAAAAAUUAUAAAUAAAUAUAGUUGUAAAUAGAAGUUAUGAAUAUUUGUAAAUAUUUUUAGUCAUCAAUUUUUUUAAAAACAUCUAAAAUUAUUUUUUUAUCAAAAAAAUUUUAUAUUUUAUGAAAAAUAAUGAUUAAAAUAUUAAAUAUAACAAUAUAAAUGAAAUAGUUGUUUAAUGAUCGGAAAGCUUACCAAUAAGUUUGAAAAGAAUGAUCCAUAUAAGUUAGAUAUAAGGCCGCAAGGCCGCAAACGAGGGAUCGAUCCAUGACCUGACCUUAUUUGACCCAUUUAGACUCGAUCUGCAUCUGAUUUAAGGACCCAUGAGGUCAGAUUGGUUAUCAAAUUUGGACUUAUUCCACAUUUUGAGUCAGGUCUAUAUUUAUUGAGUUAUAAGCCAACCCGACUCGCUUAUUGUCUAAGUUUGAUUGGAGCCUUACCUAUGACCCGACCUGACUUAACCUGAACCCAUUUUUAGAACUUCGGAUCAGUUUGAACCAAAAAAAAUGAAUACACACCCCUACUUUCUUUCUCUUUCAUCCCUUCUAGCUAAGAUUUCUACUUUUCACUUCGUACUUUUUUCUUU